RNAcentral lists this ribosomal RNA (402 nucleotides) under bacterium. RNAcentral describes it as "partial 16S ribosomal RNA". It matches the Rfam family "Bacterial small subunit ribosomal RNA", at positions 355 to 776 of the family's 1533-position model. The record is from RNAcentral.
UGGGGAAUUUUGCACAAUGGGGGAAACCCUGAUGCAGCGACGCCGCGUGAUUUAGAAGGCCUUCGGGUUGUAAAAAUCUUUUCUAUGGGAAGAAAAUGACAGUACCAUAGGAAUAAGGACCGGCUAAUUACGUGCCCGCAGCCGCGGUAAUACGUAAGGUCCGAGCGUUGUCCGGAAUCAUUGGGCGUAAAGGGUACGUAGGCGGGUAAGCAAGUUAGAAGUGAAAUCCUAUAGCUCAACUAUAGUAAGCUUUUAAAACUGCUCAUCUUGAGGUAUGGAAUGGAAAGUGGAAUUCCUAGUGUAGCGGUGAAAUGCGCAGAUAUUAGGAGGAAUACCGGUGGCGAAGGCGACUUUCUGGCCAUAACCUGACGCUGAGGUACGAAAGCGUGGGUAGCAAACAGG